AUUAAAAUGACAACUUAUUUUAUAAAGAUUUAUGCGAAAAAAGAUUUGAGAUAAAUAUAUCAAAAUAAUUUUAAAAAAAUAAAUAGAAGGGAAAUAAAAUAAUGGAAGAAUUUGUUUAAUAAAAUUAAUUAUAUAUAUACACACACGCACUAUAUUUCUAAAAUCUUACUCCUCAAAUUUACAUUAUGUAUUUUUUUAUACAUCGAUCAAAUUAGAUUUUAUUAUGCGAUUUAUUACGUGUAUUAUUAAUAAUAUUAAUUAAUUAUAUUAUAUACAAUGAAUUUAUUAAUAAAAUUAAUUAUAUAUAUACACACACGCACUAUAUUUCUAAAAUCUUACUCCUCAAAUUUACAUUAUGUAUUUUUUUAUACAUCGAUCAAAUUAGAUUUUAUUAUGCGAUUUAUUACGUGUAUUAUUAAUAAUAUUAAUUAAUUAUAUUAUAUACAAUGAAUUUAUUAAUAAAAUUAAUUAAUUAAUUUCAUAGAGUUUAGAGAUUUAAAUUUUUAAAUUUUGAAGUUUAAAAUUUGAAAAUAAAUAUUAUAAAUUAAAUUUAAAAUUUAAAAUUUAAAAUUUAAAAUUUAAAAUUUAAAAUUUAAAAUUUAAAAUUUAAAAUUUAAAAUUUAAAAUUUAAAAUUUAAAAUUUAAAAUUUUG
Molecule: long non-coding RNA, 652 nt
Filed under: Ananas comosus (pineapple)
Lineage: Eukaryota; Viridiplantae; Streptophyta; Magnoliopsida; Poales; Bromeliaceae
Description: long non-coding RNA (ACOM_LNC032042)
Source: RNAcentral